Molecule: ribosomal RNA, 311 nt
Filed under: uncultured bacterium
Lineage: Bacteria
Description: bacterial SSU rRNA
Rfam family: Bacterial small subunit ribosomal RNA
Source: RNAcentral
UACGAACGCUGGCGGCGUGCCUAACACAUGCAAGUCGAGCGGGGACUUGGGAGCUUGCUCCUGGGUUCUAGCGGCGGACGGGUGAGUAACGCGUGAGCAACCUGCCUCUUACUGGGGGAUAACGCAUCGAAAGAUGUGCUAAUACCGCGUAAGACCACGGAGUCGCAUGGCUCAGGAGUCAAAGGAGCAAUCCGGUGAGAGAUGGGCUCGCGUCCGAUUAGCUAGUUGGUGAGAUAACGGCCCACCAAGGCGACGAUCGGUAGCCGACCUGAGAGGGUGAUCGGCCACAUUGGAACUGAGAUACGGUCCAG